CCGACUUCUCUCCUUUGAGUAUGGAGGGAGGCUGGGGGUGUGAUGUUCAGGUGUAAACUUUUCCACUGGUGCCAUUUGAAGUUAACUGGGAUGAAUCCACCCCAAACUAAAAGCUGACAAUUUCACACAAAGUGUGGGAAGGUGCACAGAGGCAUGGAACAUGGAAGUUGGAGCCAAAGCCUCAUGGAAAACCAAGCUUUGCUGACCUUCUGUUUAAUCCUCUGGUAAACAGUCCUUUCUCCGCUUGCCCCAAUGGAGGAACACUGAGGACUGCCCAGGAACUUGAGCCCAUGGUAUAUCAGCAGUGGGUUUAUCAGAGGUUUUCCCCAUAUUCCAUCUAUUUCUACAGGUGCUGCUGCUGCUCUGAACACUCAAUCUGCAUGAAUCUACUGUGGCAGACAGGAGUAGACCCUGGUUGCAUCAGCUGGAGCGAGUCUAGGAAGAUGAGAAUCAACUGGGAGAUAGAAGAAUCCUUGGAUGAAAGGAGCUUGAGAGUUUGCACAGGAGAGAGAGAAUCUGUGAGUGUCAUGGACUGA
This 536-nucleotide long non-coding RNA is filed under the name Cyanistes caeruleus (blue tit). RNAcentral describes it as "lncRNA (ENSCCEG00000023942.1)". Lineage: Eukaryota; Metazoa; Chordata; Aves; Passeriformes; Paridae. The record is from RNAcentral.